This 374-nucleotide ribosomal RNA is filed under the name uncultured organism. RNAcentral describes it as "partial 16S ribosomal RNA". It matches the Rfam family "Bacterial small subunit ribosomal RNA", at positions 527 to 896 of the family's 1533-position model. The record is from RNAcentral.
GUAGGUGGCAAGCGUUGUCCGGAAUUAUUGGACGUAAAGCGCGCGCAGGCGGUCCUUUAAGUCUGAUGUGAAAGCCCACGGCUCAACCGUGGAGGGUCAUUGGAAACUGGGGGACUUGAGUACAGAAGAGGAAAGCGGAAUUCCAAGUGUAGCGGUGAAAUGCGUAGAGAUUUGGAGGAACACCAGUGGCGAAGGCGGCUUUCUGGUCUGUAACUGACGCUGAGGCGCGAAAGCGUGGGGAGCAAACAGGAUUAGAUACCCUGGUAGUCCACGCCGUAAACGAUGAGUGCUAAGUGUUAGGGGGUUUCCCGCCCCCCUUAGUGCUGCAGCUAACGCAUUAAGCACUCCGCCUGGGGAGUACGGCCGCAAGGCUG